Molecule: ribosomal RNA, 933 nt
Filed under: uncultured bacterium
Lineage: Bacteria
Description: bacterial SSU rRNA
Rfam family: Bacterial small subunit ribosomal RNA
Source: RNAcentral
AGAGUUUGAUCAUGGCUCAGAACGAACGCUGGCGGCGUGGAUAAGACAUGCAAGUCGAGCGCUGAUUGCGAGGUAGCAAUAUUUCGUAGUCGGAGCGGCGCAAGGGUGCGUAACACGUGGGCAAUCUGCCAUGAAGUUUGGGAUAACUCGCUGAAAGGCGAGCUAAUACCGGAUGUGACUGUUGGGAGGCAUCUCCCGAUAGUUAAAGCUGGGGACCGUAAGGCCUGGCGCUUCUUGAUGAGCCCGCGGCCUAUCAGCUAGUUGGUGAGGUAACGGCUCACCAAGGCUAAGACGGGUAGCUGGUCUGAGAGGACGACCAGCCACACUGGAACUGAGACACGGUCCAGACACCUACGGGUGGCAGCAGUCGAGAAUUUUUCACAAUGGGCGCAAGCCUGAUGGAGCGACGCCGCGUGGGGGAUGAAUGGCUUCGGCCCGUAAACCCCUGUCAUUCGCGAUCAACCCUUAUUAUUUAAAAGAUGAUAAGCUGAUAGUAGCGGAAGAGGAAGGGACGGCUAACUCUGUGCCAGCAGCCGCGGUAAUACAGAGGUCCCAAGCGUUAUUCGGAUCCACUGGGCGUAAAGGGUGCGUAGGUGGUGGCGUAAGUCGGAUGUGAAAUCUCGGAGCUCAACUCCGAAACUGCAUUGGAAACUGCGUCGCUAGAGGGUCGGAGGGGGGACUGGAAUUCUCGGUGUAGCAGUGAAAUGCGUAGAUAUCGAGAGGAACACCAGUGGCGAAGGCGAGUCCCUGGACGACUCCUGACACUGAGGCACGAAAGCUAGGGGAGCAAACAGGAUUAGAUACCCUGGUAGUCCUAGCCGUAAACGGUGCACGUUUGCUGUAAAAGGAAUCGACCCCUUUUGUGGCGGAGCUAACGCGUUAAACGUGCCGCCUGGGAAGUACGGUCGCAAGAUUAAAACUCAAAGAAAUUGA